ACGGGAGGCAGCAGUCGGGAAUAUUGCGCAAUGGAGGAAACUCUGACGCAGUGACGCCGCGUAUAGGAAGAAGGUUUUAGGAUUGUAAACUAUUUUAGACAGGGAAGAAAAAAGACUGUACCUGUAGAAUAAGCUCCGGCUAACUACGUGCCAGCAGCCGCGGUAAUACGUAGGGAGCAAGCGUUAUCCGGAAUUAUUGGGUGUAAAGGGUGCGUAGACGGGAAUUUAAGUUGGUUGUGAAAUCCCUCGGCUUAACUGAGGAACUGCAACCAAAACUGGAUUUCUUGAGUGCAGGAGAGGAAAGCGGAAUUCCUAGUGUAGCGGUGAAAUGCGUAGAUAUUAGGAGGAACACCAGUGGCGAAGGCGGCUUUCUGGACUGUAACUGACGUUGAGGCACGAAAGUGUGGGGAGCAAACAGGAUUAGAUACCCUGGUA
This 435-nucleotide ribosomal RNA is filed under the name uncultured Oscillospiraceae bacterium. Its description in RNAcentral is "partial 16S ribosomal RNA". It matches the Rfam family "Bacterial small subunit ribosomal RNA", at positions 341 to 792 of the family's 1533-position model. The record is from RNAcentral. Lineage: Bacteria; Bacillati; Bacillota; Clostridia; Eubacteriales; Oscillospiraceae.